AGAGUUUGAUCCUGGUUCAAAGUGAACGCUGGCGGCGUGCCUAACACAUGCAAGUCGAACGAGAACGGAUUACAGCUUGCUGUAAUUGUCAGCUAAGUGGCGCACGGGUGAGUAAUAUAUAGUUAAUCUGCCCCAAAGAAGAGAAUAAUUGUUGGAAACGACUUGUAAUGCUCUAUAUGCCUUUAUCACAUAAGUGAGCAAGGGAAAUAUUUAUAGCUUUGGGAUGAGACUGUACGGUAUCAGCUAGUUGGUGAGGUAAUGGCUCACCAAGGCUAUGACAUCUAACUGGUUUGAGAGGAUGAUCAGUCACACUGGAACUGAGACACGGUCCAGACUCCUACGGGAGGCAGCAGUGGGGAAUAUUGCACAAUGGAGGAAACUCUGAUGCAGCAACGCCGCGUGGAGGAUGACACAUUUCGGUGCGUAAACUCCUUUUAUAUGAGAAGAUAAUGACGGUAUCAUAUGAAUAAGCACCGGCUAACUCCGUGCCAGCAGCCGCGGUAAUACGGGGGGUGCAAGCGUUACUCGGAAUCACUGGGCGUAAAGAGCAUGUAGGCUGGUAAUUAAGUUGGAAAUGAAAUCCUAUGGCUCAA
Molecule: ribosomal RNA, 593 nt
Filed under: uncultured bacterium
Lineage: Bacteria
Description: bacterial SSU rRNA
Rfam family: Bacterial small subunit ribosomal RNA
Source: RNAcentral